GAUCCUGCUCAGGAUGAACGCUAGCUACAGGCUUAACACAUGCAAGUCGAGGGGCAGCAUUUUAUAGCAAUAUAAAAGAUGGCGACCGGCGCACGGGUGAGUAACACGUAUCCAACCUGCCGAUAACUCGGGGAUAACCCUUCGAAAGAAGGCCUAAUACCCGAUGGCAUAUCCCUUCCGCCUGGUUGGGGUAUUAAAGAAUUUCGGUCAUCGAUGGGGAUGCGUUCCAUUAGGUUGUUGGCGUGGUAACGG
This 252-nucleotide ribosomal RNA is filed under the name uncultured bacterium. Its description in RNAcentral is "partial 16S ribosomal RNA". It matches the Rfam family "Bacterial small subunit ribosomal RNA", at positions 15 to 263 of the family's 1533-position model. The record is from RNAcentral.